UUUACAGGUCAACAACAUGCUACCAGAGAUCGAACACCGGACUGAUUCUCUCCAGUGAUUGGAUACUCCUCGACGGGGGACGAUCCUUGAGGCCGCGGUCGCUCUCUCUCUGUGAACUGAGAUGGCUCGUCACAUGUCUGCGUGGACAAGAAGCCUCUGCUUCAAACACACAGCGGGAGGGAAACAGAGCUGCCUGACAACGUCGAUGAUGACAUCUUCAAACACUCCCUCUGCGCUCUGCAGACACACCCAGCGCUCACUGCAGCUUCCAGCAUUUGACGUGUUAAAGAGGUGGACUUGAGGCUGGAAGGUUGCUGGUACAAAUCCCCGCUCAGACAGUGUCUCAACUUCUCCACACGAAUCCCGACUGAUCAUUGAACACACCUGAGCCACCGCGGACACGGAUUUGGUCACAUCCCCUCUGCUUCUUCAGUUUCCUCAAGCUCCACCUCCACCUCCACCAGAGCCACCUCUACCUCCGACACCCGUCAGCUCUCAUUGUCAGAGAUGCAGCUUGGACGACAGACAAAAAAAACACCAAUCAUCUGACUGACUGGCAGAGUUUCAGGCAUCAACAGAAGAACUGUCUCAGACUUCUAAGAAAAUCUGAUUUCUACUUGUCCUCACUUGUAAAUACCUCUCUCUGGCAAUGCGUCGCAGUUUUGGAAAAUAAUCAAAUCCUUAAAAACAAAAUUCCCCUUCUUAAAUUUGAACUACAUUUUAUCCAGCUCUGGAAACUACAAACUGCUCCUGAUUUUCUCUUUAUCAUCACACACACAUUUCACAGUUUAGCCGCUGACCUCAAGGAUGAAAUUAAUUUAAUCCAAAUAUUAUAUAAAGCUGCGUGUCAAAUAAUAGGUUUUAUAGUAUAUAACAUUAUUAUGCCUGACUGAAAGCUGUAACUAAUGUGUGUAAUCAAUGUAAUUACAGUAUACAGCUCUCUCAUGUGAUUACCACAUGAUGCUCCUCCUCCAUACACGUUGGUGGAAAAGCACAUCUGCCACAUGCAUGUGUCUCAUCUGCAUGCGGCCGGUGGCUAAUGACUGUGACUAAUAGCUUCUACUCUGCCUUUAAUUACCUACAUUUAUAAUUAAUUUGAAGAAAAUUAGAUUGAGCCCUGCAGGCAGCGCAGCCAUGUGGUACGCUGUCACUCUUGUUUGAGGACUCACUGUUAUCAUUUAUUAUCAACAUCUUCAGUAAUGUCAUCAUGUGGAAUUCAUAUUGUUGUUUUUCAUGACACACGUUGAAGAACAUCUCCAUGACAGACAUUUUGAUAAUAGAUAUUAAUGGUUUACGUAAUUUAUGAAUGAAUAAUGCUCCAUAAAUUUGAGUAUUUGCUGCUUUAAUCUGGUUUAUAUCAUUAUAAACUUUUGGACUACAAGCCUACAAGGGGGCAUAACGUCCCCCUAGGCUUUGGGAAAUUGUGAUGGGCAUUUUUUUUUUUACUACUUUCAGACAUUUUAUAAACUAAAUGAUUAAUCAAAAAAGCAUUUCAGUUCUUGAAAUGUGUUGGAAACAUGUUGGAGACUGAUGUUUUUCACCUAACAACCUCACUAUUAAUCAGGGUUUAUAGUAGUUUAUUUGGUUUAUAUUCACUUACCUCAAACGACAUGUAUUGUUUGUACAUGGUAAAGUUUAUCAGCCUAUUUUAUCUGUAGUUUGGGAUUUAUCCUCUAAUUAUUAUUACUGUCAAUGUGUAUUUUAUUUAUUACUAUUUAUUUUUAUUUUUAUUUAUUUUAUUUAUUUUAUUUAUUUUAUUUAUUU
This is a long non-coding RNA of Sebastes umbrosus (honeycomb rockfish), 1764 nucleotides long. RefSeq lists it as uncharacterized. The record is from RefSeq and is a predicted model, not a curated record. Lineage: Eukaryota; Metazoa; Chordata; Actinopteri; Perciformes; Sebastidae. The transcript has 6 exons.